CCAAUAGCGUAUAUUAAAGUUGUUGCAGUUAAAAAGCUCGUAGUUGAAUUUCGGGGUUCCACCGUUGGUCAGGCUAUUGUCUGUACUGGUGUGUGGAAUUUCUACCUUCUGGGGAACUAUCAUGUUAUUAAUUUAGCGUGGUAGGAAACCAGGACCUUUACCUUGAAAAAAUUAGAGUGUUCAAAGCAGGCUUAUGUCUGAAUACAUUAGCAUGGAAUAAUAAAAUAGGACGGUGGUCCUGUUUUGUUGGUUUCUGAAUCACCGUAAUGAUUAAUAGGGAUAGUUGGGGGCAUUAGUAUUCAAUUGUCAGAGGUGAAAUUCUUGGAUUUAUUGAAGACUAACUACUGCGAAAGCAUUUGCCAAGGAUGUUUUCAUUAAUCAAGAACGAAAGUUAAGGGAUCGAAGACGAUCAGAUACCGUCGUAGUCUUAACCAUAAACUAUGCCGACUAGGGAUCGGACGAUGUUAACUUUUCUUGACUCGUUCGGCGCCUUACG
This 496-nucleotide ribosomal RNA is filed under the name uncultured Glomeromycotina. RNAcentral describes it as "partial small subunit ribosomal RNA". It matches the Rfam family "Eukaryotic small subunit ribosomal RNA", at positions 591 to 1092 of the family's 1831-position model. Lineage: Eukaryota; Fungi; Glomeromycota. The record is from RNAcentral.